AAACUAGGAUUAGAUACCCUACUAUUUAAAGAUUGCUUUAAAGUAGUAAAUUAUUUUUUCUAAACUUAAUUCUUCUGGCGGUUCACUACUCUAGCAGAGGAGCUUGUUAAUUUAAUUUGAUAACCCCCUUUUAAUUUCACCACUUUUGUUUUUAUGUACGGCUGUUAAGUUUUAACAUACAGGUUAUUGCUUUUUACGUUAGUGUUUUAAUUCAGGUCAAUGUGUAAAUCAUAAAGUGGUUUUAAUGAGCUACUUUUUUGUAUAAAAUUAAUUUUAUUUGAAAUUGGAUUUGAUAGUAAAUAAGAAAUUGAAUUUCUUAUUGAUGUGGAUUUUUGGUGAAAGUACAUAUCGCCCGUCACUCUUUUGAUAGAUAAGUCGUAACAUAGUA
Molecule: ribosomal RNA, 388 nt
Filed under: Neoseiulus cucumeris
Lineage: Eukaryota; Metazoa; Arthropoda; Arachnida; Mesostigmata; Phytoseiidae
Also listed under: 1 other name
Description: partial 12S ribosomal RNA
Source: RNAcentral